Molecule: ribosomal RNA, 447 nt
Filed under: uncultured bacterium
Lineage: Bacteria
Description: partial 16S ribosomal RNA
Rfam family: Bacterial small subunit ribosomal RNA
Source: RNAcentral
AACGAACGCUGGCGGCAGGCUUAACACAUGCAAGUCGAACGCCCCGCAAGGGGAGUGGCAGACGGGUGAGUAACGCGUGGGAACGUACCUUUCAGUUCGGAAUAACUCAGGGAAACUUGUGCUAAUACCGGAUACGCUCGUAAGAGGAAAGAUUUAUCGCUGAAAGAUCGGCCCGCGUUGGAUUAGCUAGUUGGUGGGGUAAUGGCCUACCAAGGCGACGAUCCAUAGCUGGUCUGAGAGGAUGAUCAGCCACACUGGGACUGGGACACGGCCCGGACUCCUACGGGAGGCAGCAGUGGGGAAUAUUGGACAAUGGGCGAAGGCCUGACCCAGCCAUGCCGGGAGAGUGAUAAGGGCCCUAGGGUUGAAAAGCUCUUUCCCGGAUGAGGAUAAUGACGGUAGUGGGAGAAGAAGCCCGGGCUAACUUCGUGCAAGCGCCCGCCGAAA